This 497-nucleotide ribosomal RNA is filed under the name uncultured bacterium. RNAcentral describes it as "partial 16S ribosomal RNA". It matches the Rfam family "Bacterial small subunit ribosomal RNA", at positions 28 to 507 of the family's 1533-position model. The record is from RNAcentral.
GAUGAACGCUGGCGGCGUGCCUAAUACAUGCAAGUCGAGCGAACGGACGAGAAGCUUGCUUCUCUGAUGUUAGCGGCGGACGGGUGAGUAACACGUGGAUAACCUACCUAUAAGACUGGGAUAACUUCGGGAAACCGGAGCUAAUACCGGAUAAUAUUUUGAACCGCAUGGUUCAAAAGUUAAAGACGGUCUUGCUGUCACUUAUAGAUGGAUCCGCGCUGCAUUAGCUAGUUGGUAAGGUAACGGCUUACCAAGGCAACGAUGCAUAGCCGACCUGAGAGGGUGAUCGGCCACACUGGAACUGAGACACGGUCCAGACUCCUACGGGAGGCAGCAGUAGGGAAUCUUCCGCAAUGGGCGAAAGCCUGACGGAGCAACGCCGCGUGAGUGAUGAAGGUCUUCGGAUCGUAAAAAUCUGUUAUUAGGGAAGAACAUAUGUGUAAGUAACUGUGCACAUCUUGACGGUACCUAAUCAGAAAGCCACGGCUAACUACGUG